AUCUUUGCGCUUGGGGCAAUGACGCAGCUAGAGAGGUUAUACCGAGGCGCGUCAAUUGCUGAUUGAAAACUAUUUCUAAACCCCCUCUUUGACUCUCACGGGCAUUGAGAAUUUUUGGAAGGGUUCCCUCUUUGAGGGUAAAACC
RNAcentral lists this small nuclear RNA (145 nucleotides) under Triticum urartu. RNAcentral describes it as "U4 spliceosomal RNA". It matches the Rfam family "U4 spliceosomal RNA". Rfam says of the family: U4 small nuclear RNA (U4 snRNA) is a component of the major U2-dependent spliceosome. The structure of U4 snRNA from yeast and human has been reported. The record is from Rfam by way of RNAcentral. Lineage: Eukaryota; Viridiplantae; Streptophyta; Magnoliopsida; Poales; Poaceae.